AAGUGUCUGUGCCGCAAAUCCUCGUAAAACAGUUGUGCAAAAAAACGGAGGUACCGUAUUUUCACGACUAUAAGGCGCCAUUAAAAGUCCUACAUUUUCUCCAAAAUGGACAGGACGCCUUAUGGUGCAGAGCGUCCUUUGUAUGUGCUGAGUUCCAAAAUCUGACUGACAGCCGACACGCUGUUUAUAUAGAGAAAAGGUGGAAGUGACUGUGGCCAGGCAUGCGGGAAAGAAGUCGGCCAAUCAGUGAAGGGUGGGCGUGUAUACAUACAUAUAUGGAGAGAGAGAGAGAGAGGACAGGCAUGCUGGGGAGCAGUCUGCCAAUGGGUGAAGGGUGUGCGUGUAAGUGGACGCUAAAGGGGACGCCCCAAGCAGGUACCAACACCUGUAUAGAGUGUGGCAAUGUGCAUUGUUGCAAAACAACUUCGGUUUUGGUUUCUAUGAACCCCCGAAAAUAAAUUCUUCAAAGAGACACGCCUACGAAGCUCAGUUCAAACUUCAAGCCAUCGGUUAUGCUUUUGGCAUGCGUGCCCAUCUCACAGCAGUGGUGAAAAAUCAAGUCAAGCAAAUGAACUCUGAGCUUGCCGUUAUUCCCGGAGGCUUGACUAAAGAACUCCAACCGCUGGACAUCGGCAUCAACUGGGCGUUCUUAGGUAAAGUUGCGACCGGGCGUUCAAAGUAAAGUUGCGAACGGCAUGGGAACAAUGAAUGAUCGAUGGCAAACACAAC
Long non-coding RNA from Hippocampus zosterae (dwarf seahorse), 729 nucleotides. RefSeq lists it as uncharacterized. The transcript is spliced from 2 exons. NCBI's taxonomy places the organism in Eukaryota, Metazoa, Chordata, Actinopteri, Syngnathiformes, Syngnathidae. The record is from RefSeq and is a predicted model, not a curated record.